AACGUUGCCUAUCUCCUUCGCUCCAUAGAUGCUGCUGCACCCGCUGAGUUUCUCCAGCAUUUUUGUGUACCUUGGGAUUGUUUUUGUUCAGUAGAGGAAGUUGAAGGGAGACAUAAAUUGAGUUGAGAUAUAAAUUAGUAGAUCUAAUAGAGUUAUGUAGAAGUAACUAUUUCACAUGUGGCACACACUAAAGGGCAUACAUUCAAAAUUAUUGCUAGAAGGAUUAGAGGUGAGAGGCAGGAGAGCUACAUAAUGGGAGAGAAGAUCAUAGGUGAAAUUGAAACAUAAAAAUAUAAUAUAUCUUAAUUAAUUUUUGGGAACUGGAGAUAAUUGCUGCUGCUAUUAUGUUGCUGAGACAAUGUGCCAAUCCAGCUCUUACCUUAAGUCUUUUGUGCUGGUACAUCAUUCUCGCACAGAUCUACAUGUUAUAGGUAUUUAAUCUCCAUGAUUGUUUUCUCUUCCCAAUCUUCAUUUAAUCCCAUCAAUAUGUUUCUUCAUUCCUCAUGUGCAUUUGGUUUUUACCUUGAGUUCACCUUUACUUUUCACCUCGACCCAUUUUUUUUAAUGGCAAGCUCUAAAUUCUUACCACCCUUGAAUUUUUCCUUUUAAUUCUACGUGGGAUAUAAUAAGGACAUUUUUUAAAUAUAUUUUUUAUAUGUGGUUUCCAGUUGUUAUCUGGUGACAAGUGGACAGAUAAACGUUCCCAGGUUUUGCUUCUGAGAUUGGUGACUCUUCUGGUAUGGGCCCAGGCUGAUGUUUGUCCAUGAUACACUUAUGCUUUUACAAAUCAAAGGAACAAUAUAAAAUGGCAUAUUUUAAAGAAAUCUUAAAAUAUUCUCCACUUGCUACAUGAUAUGAUCAAUCCUUUUAAGAAAAUGUGGGGUAGAAAAUGAGAUAAGGGAUUAAUUUUUGCAGAAAUAAGAAUCAGUGUGCCCUACUGCCCCAACUGACAAUGCAUUCUUGCUAUUUAAAAUAAUUUUAACCAUUAGAAAGAUACAGUAUUUAUGCAAGAACAAUGUUCAGGUCAAAAAUUAUGUUAUUUUUCAGUGUUCAUUGUUUUGCAUACAUUGAUCUACCUUUCAGCACCAUCUAAUUGGCCUUUUCCCCCCCAUUCACCCACCAGCUAAACUAAACAAUUUUGUUUUAAAAUGCUGAAUUCAUUAUUAUUUUGGCAACAUAUUCAAUAAUAUUUUGGAAUCGGCUAUGACCAAGCUAAAACAUACCUAGAAAUCUCUUCAGUGAUUGAAAUCUAAUAGAUUGAUAUACUUUACAUUGCAUGUGAGUUAAUUUAGCACUUUCUCUGAUCUUCUAGAAACUGGUAACAAACCAAAUAAUAACUGAGUGUGUGUGUAUGCAUGUAUGUGUGUUGGGAAAUAAUAAUUUUGAGGAAGGGCUAGGAUUUCUGGGAAUUUAGUUCAACGAAUGAAAUAUCAUAAUUU
This is a long non-coding RNA of Amblyraja radiata (thorny skate), 1439 nucleotides long. RefSeq lists it as uncharacterized. NCBI's taxonomy places the organism in Eukaryota, Metazoa, Chordata, Chondrichthyes, Rajiformes, Rajidae. The record is from RefSeq and is a predicted model, not a curated record. The transcript has 2 exons.